CAAGAAGUAGUUUAAUUAGAAUAUCAGCUUUGGGUGUUGAUGGUGAAGGGGUAGUCCUUCCUUCUUGA
This 68-nucleotide transfer RNA is filed under the name Alexandromys oeconomus (root vole). RNAcentral's name for it is "tRNA-Pro". Lineage: Eukaryota; Metazoa; Chordata; Mammalia; Rodentia; Cricetidae. The record is from RNAcentral.